This 155-nucleotide ribosomal RNA is filed under the name uncultured bacterium. RNAcentral's name for it is "partial 16S ribosomal RNA". It matches the Rfam family "Bacterial small subunit ribosomal RNA", at positions 373 to 523 of the family's 1533-position model. The record is from RNAcentral.
GGGCGCAGCCUGAUCAGCAUGCCGCGUGAGUGAAGAAGGCCUUCGGGUUGUAAAGCUCUUUCAGUCGAGAAGAAAAGGCUGCAGUGAAUAACUGUAGUUUAUGACGGUAUCGACAGAAGAAGCACCGGCUAACUACGUGCCAGCAGCCGCGGUAA